UUUAGUCUCAGCAGGAGCAAGUAGAU
Molecule: non-coding RNA, 26 nt
Filed under: Mus musculus (house mouse)
Lineage: Eukaryota; Metazoa; Chordata; Mammalia; Rodentia; Muridae
Source: RNAcentral